This 259-nucleotide long non-coding RNA is filed under the name Sorghum bicolor (sorghum). Its description in RNAcentral is "long non-coding RNA (SBIC_LNC014497)". The record is from RNAcentral. Lineage: Eukaryota; Viridiplantae; Streptophyta; Magnoliopsida; Poales; Poaceae.
GACAUGCAAACAUUUUAUGAAACACUUUUUAAAAGCCUAAGCAAAAGAGGUCUCUAGGGCCUAUUUUCAUAAGUAUGACUUAAAAGCAUAUUUUGGAGAAGUGACCAACAUGAACAUUGUUCCCAAAGUCAAGUUAAACAUAGAUAAACUAAUUACCAAGGCAUUAAGCACAAACACAAGCAUGGUUCACUCAAACAUAAGCAUAGGAAGCCUAUUUAAGCAAUUUAAAACACAUUUAUGCAUAGAAUGACAUGGCUCA